AGAGAUUUAGCUUAAUGGUUAAGCGCUUGACUGUUAAUCAAGCUUGAUUAUUAAUGGUAAUCAUUAUCUAGGUUCGAAUCCUAUAAUCUCUA
This is a non-coding RNA of Jimgerdemannia flammicorona, 92 nucleotides long. The record is from the annotation of a GenBank genome assembly. Lineage: Eukaryota; Fungi; Mucoromycota; Endogonomycetes; Endogonales; Endogonaceae.